RNAcentral lists this transfer RNA (71 nucleotides) under Cordylochernes scorpioides. RNAcentral describes it as "tRNA-Gly". The record is from RNAcentral. Lineage: Eukaryota; Metazoa; Arthropoda; Arachnida; Pseudoscorpiones; Chernetidae.
UGCAUCGGCCGGGAAUCGAACCCUGGCCGCCCGCGUGGCAGGCGAGCAUUCUACGACUGAACCACCGAUGC